UCCCAAGUGGCCUUGUGGUUAAGGCUCAGCUUUGUUACUGCUGUGUUUCAGGUCUCUGCUGUGGUACGGGUUCUAUCCCUGGCUAGGGAA
RNAcentral lists this transfer RNA (90 nucleotides) under Sus scrofa (pig). It matches the Rfam family "tRNA". Rfam says of the family: Transfer RNA (tRNA) molecules are approximately 80 nucleotides in length. Their secondary structure includes four short double-helical elements and three loops (D, anti-codon, and T loops). The record is from Rfam by way of RNAcentral. Lineage: Eukaryota; Metazoa; Chordata; Mammalia; Artiodactyla; Suidae.